AGGGAGACUCAGAAGGACAACACUAAGGAAGCUGCUGUUUUCUCGGAACACUCAAAUUAUCACAGCAGGAAGAAAAGAAUGAGUUCAGAAUUUAAAUCCAGAUUCCACAAGGGUCUUGAUACCUGGAUCCUCAGUUAAGACUGAGGCAGAAUGGACUCUUUGUAAGAUGUCCAAUAGUGGAUUGCUUUGUGACAGGAUAUCAGGAAGGCGAUGUCAUGACCUGCAAGUGAAUUAGAUUUAAAUGACGGAGGGCUGUGCAAAGUCAUCAGCCUCACUCUCUCC
Molecule: non-coding RNA, 282 nt
Organism: Phascolarctos cinereus (koala)
Lineage: Eukaryota; Metazoa; Chordata; Mammalia; Diprotodontia; Phascolarctidae
Source: RefSeq, a predicted model, not a curated record